Molecule: ribosomal RNA, 492 nt
Filed under: uncultured bacterium
Lineage: Bacteria
Description: partial 16S ribosomal RNA
Rfam family: Bacterial small subunit ribosomal RNA
Source: RNAcentral
AGUGAACGCUGGCGGUAGGCCUAACACAUGCAAGUCGAACGGCAGCACAGUAAGAGCUUGCUCUUACGGGUGGCGAGUGGCGGACGGGUGAGGAAUACAUCGGAAUCUACUUUUUCGUGGGGGAUAACGUAGGGAAACUUACGCUAAUACCGCAUACGACCUUCGGGUGAAAGCAGGGGAUCUUCGGACCUUGCGCGAUUGAAUGAGCCGAUGUCGGAUUAGCUAGUUGGCGGGGUAAAGGCCCACCAAGUCGACGAUCCGUAGCUGGUCUGAGAGGAUGAUCAGCCACACUGGAACUGAGACACGGUCCAGACUCCUACGGGAGGCAGCAGUGGGGAAUAUUGGACAAUGGGCGCAAGCCUGAUCCAGCCAUACCGUGUGGGUGAAGAAGGCCUUCGGGUUGUAAAGCCCUUUUGUUGGGAAAGAAAAGCAGCAGGUUAAUACCCCGCUGUUCUGACGGUACCCAAAGAAUAAGCACCGGCUAACUUCGUG